This 490-nucleotide ribosomal RNA is filed under the name uncultured bacterium. RNAcentral describes it as "partial 16S ribosomal RNA". It matches the Rfam family "Bacterial small subunit ribosomal RNA", at positions 28 to 507 of the family's 1533-position model. The record is from RNAcentral.
GAUGAACGCUAGCGGCAGGCCUAAUACAUGCAAGUCGAACGGGAUCCAGAUCAAAGCUUGCUUUGGUUUGGUGAGAGUGGCGCACGGGUGCGUAACGCGUGAGCAACCUACCCUUGUCAGGGGGAUAGCCCGGCGAAAGUCGGAUUAAUACCGCAUGACAUCAUUGAGAGGCAUCUUUCGAUGAUCAAAGAUUUAUCGGACAAGGAUGGGCUCGCGUGACAUUAGCUAGUUGGUAAGGUAACGGCUUACCAAGGCUACGAUGUCUAGGGGCUCUGAGAGGAGAAUCCCCCACACUGGUACUGAGACACGGACCAGACUCCUACGGGAGGCAGCAGUAAGGAAUAUGGGUCAAUGGACGGAAGUCUGAACCAGCCAUGCCGCGUGCAGGAAGACGGCCCUAUGGGUUGUAAACUGCUUUUAUACGGGAACAAACGUCGGUACGUGUACCGGUCUGAGUGUACCGUAAGAAUAAGGAUCGGCUAACUCCGUG